GCUGGUGAACGGUGGGUCGGACCUAACUAAGAAAUAUACCAAUAACUGUUAGAUGAGGUCACAGGACUUAGAGAUCAAGUUGCUGUAACAUGCUUGGAGAAGCAUCUGGACAAAGAGUUAUCUACGUAUUGGUAUACGUAUCACCAAUAACUAUUAGGUGAGGUAUCGUACAUUGAUAGGACUAUAGCACCCACUAGAAC
This 200-nucleotide long non-coding RNA is filed under the name Elaeis guineensis (African oil palm). RNAcentral describes it as "long non-coding RNA (EGUI_LNC071458)". The record is from RNAcentral. Lineage: Eukaryota; Viridiplantae; Streptophyta; Magnoliopsida; Arecales; Arecaceae.